GAUGAACGCUGGCGGCGUGCCUAAUACAUGCAAGUCGAGCGAACAGACGAGGAGCUUGCUCCUCUGACGUUAGCGGCGGACGGGUGAGUAACACGUGGAUAACCUACCUAUAAGACUGGGAUAACUUCGGGAAACCGGAGCUAAUACCGGAUAAUAUAUUGAACCGCAUGGUUCAAUAGUGAAAGACGGUUUUGCUGUCACUUAUAGAUGGAUCCGCGCCGCAUUAGCUAGUUGGUAAGGUAACGGCUUACCAAGGCAACGAUGCGUAGCCGACCUGAGAGGGUGAUCGGCCACACUGGAACUGAGACACGGUCCAGACUCCUACGGGAGGCAGCAGUAGGGAAUCUUCCGCAAUGGGCGAAAGCUUGACGGAGCAACGCCGCGUGAGUGAUGAAGGUCUUCGGAUCGUAAAACUCUGUUAUUAGGGAAGAACAGAUGUGUAAGUAACUAUGCACGUCUUGACGGGACCUAAUCAGAAAGCCACGGCGAACUACGU
This 496-nucleotide ribosomal RNA is filed under the name uncultured bacterium. RNAcentral's name for it is "partial 16S ribosomal RNA". It matches the Rfam family "Bacterial small subunit ribosomal RNA", at positions 28 to 506 of the family's 1533-position model. The record is from RNAcentral.